Molecule: ribosomal RNA, 597 nt
Filed under: Centropyge nox (midnight angelfish)
Lineage: Eukaryota; Metazoa; Chordata; Actinopteri; Pomacanthidae
Description: partial 16S ribosomal RNA
Rfam family: Bacterial large subunit ribosomal RNA
Source: RNAcentral
UCAAAAACAUCGCCUCUUGCAAAAUUAACAAAUAAGAGGUCCCGCCUGCCCUGUGACUAUAUGUUUAACGGCCGCGGUAUUUUGACCGUGCAAAGGUAGCGCAAUCACUUGUCUUUUAAAUGGAGACCCGUAUGAAUGGCACAACGAGGGCUUAACUGUCUCCUCUUUCAAGUCAAUGAAAUUGAUCUCCCCGUGCAGAAGCGGGGAUAGACACAUAAGACGAGAAGACCCUGUGGAGCUUUAGGCACUAAAGCAGAACAUGUUAAGUGCCCCUGACCAACGGCCAAAACAACUUGCACCCUGCCCUAAUGCCUUCGGUUGGGGCGACCGCGGGGAAAUGAAAAACCCCCAUGCAGAAUGGGAGGACACCUCCUACAACUAAGAGCUCCUGCUCUAAUUAACAGAACCUCUGACUAUACAAGAUCCGGCAGUGCCGAUUAACGAACCAAGUUACCCCAGGGAUAACAGCGCAAUCCCCUUUUAGAGCCCAUAUCGACAAGGGGGUUUACGACCUCGAUGUUGGAUCAGGACAUCCUAAUGGUGCAGCCGCUAUUAAGGGUUCGUUUGUUCAACGAUUAAAGUCCUACGUGAUCUGAG